RNAcentral lists this unclassified non-coding RNA (224 nucleotides) under uncultured Chytridiomycota. RNAcentral's name for it is "sequence contains ITS1". The stretch from base 1 to 105 matches the Rfam family "5.8S ribosomal RNA", at positions 50 to 154 of the family's 154-position model. Lineage: Eukaryota; Fungi; Chytridiomycota. The record is from RNAcentral.
GAAAUGCGAUACGUAGUGUGAAUUGCAGAAUCCAGUGAAUCAUCGAAUCUUUGAACGCACAUUGCGCCCUUGGGUAUUCCUGGGGGCAUGCCUGUUUGAGAACCUUGACGUACCUCACACCCCACCUUGGUGUUUUAGCUUCGGCGAAAUGAUCCUCACUGGUGCGGGUUCGUGGACCUGGGUCUGUUCUUUUUCUCACGAAAAAGAGGCCUUAAAUGAAAUGU